CGCAGGUGCAUGGCAGACGGGUGAGUAACGCGUGGGGAAUCUACCUCUUUGUGGGGAAUAACGCUCCGAAAGGAGUGGUAAUACCGCAUGAGAUCCAUGGCUGGGAUGCUGUGGAUGAAACCUGGGGACCGCAAGGCCUGGGGCAAGGAGAGGAUCCUGCGUCUGAUUAGCUAGUUGGUGAGGUAAUGGCCCACCAAGGCGACGAUCAGUAGCCGGCCUGAGAGGGUGAUCGGCCACACUGGAACUGAGACACGGUCCAGACUCCUACGGGAGGCAGCAGUGGGGAAUUUUGCGCAAUGGGCGAAAGCCUGACGCAGCAACGCCGCGUGGGUGAUGAAGGUCUUCGGAUCGUAAAACCCUGUCGUCGGGGACGAAGGUGGAGGGGUUAAUAGCCUCUUUGCUUGACGGUACCCGGAGAGGAAGCCCCGGCUAACUCUGUGCCAGCAGCCGCGGUAAUACAGAGGGGGCAAGCGUUAUUCGGAAUUAUUGGGCGUAAAGGGCGCGUAGGCGGCUUUUUAAGUGAGAUGUGUAAUCCCUGAGCUCAACUUGGGAACUGCAUCUCAUACUGGGAGGCUAGAGUACUGGAGAGGGUGGUAGAAUUCCACGUGUAGCGGUGAAAUGCGUAGAGAUGUGGAGGAAUACCAGUGGCGAAGGCGGCCACCUGGACAGUAACUGACGCUGAGGCGCGAAAGUGUGGGUAGCAAACA
RNAcentral lists this ribosomal RNA (707 nucleotides) under uncultured bacterium. Its description in RNAcentral is "bacterial SSU rRNA". It matches the Rfam family "Bacterial small subunit ribosomal RNA", at positions 86 to 774 of the family's 1533-position model. The record is from RNAcentral.